This is a long non-coding RNA of Vigna angularis (adzuki bean), 873 nucleotides long. RefSeq lists it as uncharacterized. Lineage: Eukaryota; Viridiplantae; Streptophyta; Magnoliopsida; Fabales; Fabaceae. The transcript is spliced from 2 exons. The record is from RefSeq and is a predicted model, not a curated record.
GCGACGUUGUUUUUUCUGAAAUCAUAUUGGGAUUAUUUUCCUUGAAAAUAAUUAGGGUUCUUGAGUUAUUUUGAAAAAAGAUUAGCUUUACUUGAAACAAGGAAGCAAGCGGUGCUACACCUGCUGGUAUGACUUGGGAUGCUACUCCUAAGCUUUCUGGGAUGGCCACCCCAACUCCUAAGAGGCAAAGAUCAAGAUGGGAUGAAACCCCUGCUAUUAUGGGAAGCGCUACUCCAUUGCCUGGUGCUACUCCUGCUGUUGCUUAUACUCCUGGUGUUACCCAUGUUGGUGGUAUUGAAUAGUACAAUUUGUUGAGGUGAGAGAAGGAUAUUGAGGAGAGGAAUCGUCAAGGGACGGAUGAGGAGCUUGAUGCUAUGUUUCCCCAAGAGGGGUAUGAGAUUUUGGAGCCCCCUGCUUCCUAUGUGCCCAUUAGGACGCCUGCUAGGAAGUUUCUUAUUACUCCUACUCCGUUGGUGACCCCUCUCUAUCAAAUUCCUGAAGAAAAUCGUAGGCAACACUUUGAUGUUCCAAAGGAGGUGCCUGGUGGAGGAGUUGUCCCAAGAUGAGCAGAAGGAAAGGAAAACUGAUUAUUUUUAAUUGAUGAAAGAUAACUAAAGAAUCCUGAUUAUUUUCAAAUAAAAAAAAUUUCUAAUUUGAUUUCAGAAAAAAAAAAAAAACGUGACACACAUCUAAUCUGAUUUCAUAUAAAUGCUGAGAUCAUGACACAUAGUUAGUCAUUCCAUAGAAGAUUUAAUGUUACAUUUUCAAAACUAAAAAUACAAGUUUUCUAAUUAAAAUGAACAAAUCUUUUAAAGAGAAAUGAAACACAAAAAAAACAUGAUACUAAAAAUAUAUUUAACAGAAAAAUUAAAA